UACACCCAAACUACUCUGUUGAUGCUGCUAUCCUCAGUUGGAAAUGCGGUCCGCACCCUUCUGAGCAUCUCUCUUCAAGUCAUGCGCUGUGUCACGGGCACCAUCCGCUGCAUUCUCAGCCUUUUCCUGCAAAUCCUUCCCCGCGUCCUGAGCGUUGCUCUUCGCCUUCUCUGCAUUCUUCUGCAGCGAGUUCCCGGCAUCGUCUAUGGCAUUCUGAGCCUUGUCCUGCAAACAUCAUCGAAAUGCAUUCAAUCUCAGCGCGAGCCCACAACCAUAUAACAGCAGCAACACCAUCCGGGACAAUGAGAUGAGCACACUGCUCUAAAGUAUGUGAUCGGAGUGAGCUUCGGAGGCAGACGAAAACUUACACCAAGCUUCUCAGCUUCGCUUCUCGCGUCCUUGCUCGCAUUCCUAGCGCUGCCCUCCAAGUCCCUGCCUGCGUCGUCAGCCUUGUCGCCCAGCUUCUCCGCCUCGUUCUGGGCGUCGCGCCCUACAUCCUGCGCCUUGUCCUGAGCCUCUCCAGCCUUUCCGGACAAGUAGUUCCCGGCGUCCUCUAACUUGCCCUUGGCGGCACCGGCGGCAUCCUGCACCUUGUCCUUGGCGGCUCCCGCGGUCUCCUUCACUUUGUUGGCUGCAUCUCCCGCCGCAUUCUCCACCUUGUCGACCACGCCC
This 672-nucleotide long non-coding RNA is filed under the name Physcomitrium patens. RNAcentral's name for it is "long non-coding RNA (PPAT_LNC002364)". Lineage: Eukaryota; Viridiplantae; Streptophyta; Bryopsida; Funariales; Funariaceae. The record is from RNAcentral.